Molecule: ribosomal RNA, 497 nt
Filed under: uncultured bacterium
Lineage: Bacteria
Description: partial 16S ribosomal RNA
Rfam family: Bacterial small subunit ribosomal RNA
Source: RNAcentral
GAUGAACGCUGGCGGCGUGCCUAAUACAUGCAAGUCGAGCGAACAGACGAGGAGCUUGCUCCUCUGACGUUAGCGGCGGACGGGUGAGUAACACGUGGAUAACCUACCUAUAAGACUGGGAUAACUUCGGGAAACCGGAGCUAAUACCGGAUAAUCUAUUGAACCGCAUGGUUCAAUAGUGAAAGACGGUUUUGCUGUCCCUUAUAGAUGGAUCCGCGCCGCAUUAGCUAGUUGGUAAGGUAACGGCUUACCAAGGCAACGAUGCGUAGCCGACCUGAGAGGUUGAUCGGCCACACUGGAACUGAGACACGGUCCAGACUCCUACGGGAGGCAGCAGUAGGGAAUCUUCCGCAAUGGGCGAAAGCCUGACGGAGCAACGCCGCGUGAGUGAUGAAGGUCUUCGGAUCGUAAAACUCUGUUAUUAGGGAAGAACAAAUGUGUAAGUAACUAUGCACGUCUUGACGGUACCUAAUCAGAAAGCCACGGCUAACUACGUG